GAUGAACGCUGGCGGCGUGCCUAAUACAUGCAAGUCGAACGAAACUUCUUUAUCACCGAGUGCUUGCACUCACCGAUAAAGAGUUGGGUGGCGAACGGGUGAGUAACACGUGGGCAACCUGCCCAAAAGAGGGGGAUAACACUUGGAAACAGGUGCUAAUACCGCAUAACCAUAGUUACCGCAUGGUAACUAUGUAAAAGGUGGCUAUACUACCGCUUUUGGAUGGGCCCGCGGCGCAUUAGCUAGUUGGUAGGGUAAAGGCUUACCAAGGCAAUGAUGCGUAGCCGAAUUGAGAGGUUGAUCGGCCACAUUGGGACUGAGACACGGCCCAAACUCCUACGGGAGGCAGCAGUAGGGAAUCUUCCACAAUGGGCGAAAGCCUGAUGGAGCAACGCCGCGUGGGUGAAGAAGGUCUUCGGAUCGUAAAACCCUGUUGUUAGAGAAGAAAGUGCGUGAGAGUAACUGUUCACGUUUCGACGGUAUCUAACCAGAAAGCCACUGCUAACUACGUG
RNAcentral lists this ribosomal RNA (512 nucleotides) under uncultured bacterium. RNAcentral describes it as "partial 16S ribosomal RNA". It matches the Rfam family "Bacterial small subunit ribosomal RNA", at positions 28 to 507 of the family's 1533-position model. The record is from RNAcentral.